This 253-nucleotide ribosomal RNA is filed under the name uncultured bacterium. RNAcentral's name for it is "partial 16S ribosomal RNA". It matches the Rfam family "Bacterial small subunit ribosomal RNA", at positions 524 to 776 of the family's 1533-position model. The record is from RNAcentral.
UACGUAGGGAGCAAGCGUUGUCCGGAAUCAUUGGGCGUAAAGCGCGCGUAGGCGGCCCUGUAAGUCCGUUGUGAAAACUCGAGGCUCAACUUCGAGCUGUCGGUGGAAACUUUCUGGCUAGAGUCCGGAAGAGGAGAAUGGAAUUCCUGGUGUAGCGGUGAAAUGCGCAGAUAUCAGGAAGAACACCCGUGGCGAAGGCGGUUCUCUGGGACGGUACUGACGCUGAGACGCGAAAGCGUGGGGAGCGAACAGG